This 452-nucleotide unclassified non-coding RNA is filed under the name Hevea brasiliensis (rubber tree). Lineage: Eukaryota; Viridiplantae; Streptophyta; Magnoliopsida; Malpighiales; Euphorbiaceae. The record is from RNAcentral.
AAAAAAAAAGGGACUAAACUAUGAUAAAUACCUACUUUUGCUAAUUUGCAAUAAAAAAAAGUUUUUCUUUAAAGAAAAAAAAUUAAAUGGUGAUAAUGGGGCCUUAAUCAGCAGUAUUAGUUAUUCUAAUAGUUAUUAGCUGUUUUAGUAACUGUUAGUCAUUAAAUAUUAACUAUUAGUGGUUACCUAUUUAAAUAGUGAUUCCAAACAGAAAUGUUCGGUAAAAAUAGUUGUUAAAUAUUAAAAUAGUGGUAUCAACUUAUCAACCUUAGUCAAGACGCUCCUUUAAUCUCUAAAAAUUAGGAGAGGUAACUUUUCAUGGACCAUUCCCUCAACCUCUAAAAGUUAAUAUAAAUACUAUACAAUUAAAUAGUAUAAAUAAAAGAGAUAGUGUUUUGACUAGAGUCAAAAUACUAAAUACUAUCUUAAAAGUUAUUGUUGAACAGGGUUAG